GUAGCUCAGUUGGUAGAGCAAAGGACUGAAAAUCCUUGUGUCGGCGGUUUGAUUCCGUCCCCCUCCACCA
Molecule: transfer RNA, 70 nt
Filed under: Neobacillus ginsengisoli
Lineage: Bacteria; Bacillati; Bacillota; Bacilli; Caryophanales; Bacillaceae
Description: tRNA-Phe
Rfam family: tRNA
About the family: Transfer RNA (tRNA) molecules are approximately 80 nucleotides in length. Their secondary structure includes four short double-helical elements and three loops (D, anti-codon, and T loops). Further hydrogen bonds mediate the characteristic L-shaped molecular structure. tRNAs have two regions of fundamental functional importance: the anti-codon, which is responsible for specific mRNA codon recognition, and the 3' end, to which the tRNAs corresponding amino acid is attached (by aminoacyl-tRNA synthetases). tRNAs cope with the degeneracy of the genetic code in two manners: having more than one tRNA (with a specific anti-codon) for a particular amino acid; and 'wobble' base-pairing, i.e. permitting non-standard base-pairing at the 3rd anti-codon position.
Source: RNAcentral